GCGUGAAGGGACGAAGGCCUUCGGGUUGUAAACCUUCUUUCAGCAGGGAUGAAGCGAAAGUGACGGUACCUGCAGAAGAAGCGCCGGCUAACUACGUGCCAGCAGCCGCGGUAAUACGUAGGGCGCAAGCGUUAUCCGGAAUUAUUGGGCGUAAAGAGCUCGUAGGCGGUUUGUCGCGUCUGCUGUGAAAGCCCGGGGCUCAACCCCGGGUCUGCAGUGGGUACGGGCAGACUAGAGUGAUGUAGGGGAGACUGGAAUUCCUGGUGUAGCGGUGAAAUGCGCAGAUAUCAGGAGGAACACCGAUGGCGAAGGCAGGUCUCUGGGCAUUAACUGACGCUGAGGAGCGAAAGCAUGGGGAGCGAACAGGAUUAGAUACCCUGGUAGUCCAUGCCGUAAACGUUGGGCACUAGGUGUGGGGGACAUUCCACGUUUUCCGCGCCGUAGCUAACGCAUUAAGUGCCCCGCCUGGGGAGUACGGCCGCAAGGCUAAAACUCAAAGGAAUUGACGGGGGCCCGCACAAGCGGCGGAGCAUGCGGAUUAAUUUGAUGCAACGCGAAGAACCUUACCAAGGCUUGACAUGAACCGGAAAGGCCUGGAAACAGGUCCCCCACUUGUGGCCGGUUUACAGGUGGUGCAUGGUUGUCGUCAGCUCGUGUCGUGAGAUGUUGGGUUAAGUCCCGCAACGAGCGCAACCCUCGUUUUAUGUUGCCAGCGGGUUAUGCCGGGGACUCAUAGGAGACUGCCGGGGUCAACUCGGAGGAAGGUGGGGACGACGUCAAAUCAUCAUGCCCCUUAUGUCUUGGGCUUCACGCAUGCUACAAUGGCCGGUACAAAGGGUUGCGAUACUGUGAGGUGGAGCUAAUCCCAAAAAACCGGUCUCAGUUCGGAUUGAGGUCUGCAACUCGACCUCAUGAAGUUGGAGUCGCUAGUAAUCGCAGAUCAGCAACGCUGCGGUGAAUACGUUCCCGGGCCUUGUACACACCGCCCGUCAAGUCCCGAAAGUUGGUAACACCCGAAGCCGGUGGCCUAACCCCUUGUGGAGCAGCCGUCGAAGGUGGGUCCCGCGU
RNAcentral lists this ribosomal RNA (1068 nucleotides) under Arthrobacter sp. K6-D12. RNAcentral's name for it is "bacterial SSU rRNA". It matches the Rfam family "Bacterial small subunit ribosomal RNA", at positions 399 to 1474 of the family's 1533-position model. The record is from RNAcentral. Lineage: Bacteria; Bacillati; Actinomycetota; Actinomycetes; Micrococcales; Micrococcaceae.